AGCGUUCUCACUCCCCCACAGCCACAAAUGCUGCAGAAUCCGGGUCUUCAAAUGACACACGUACCAGUCCCUGCAGCGUCAUCGCGCGUAUUCAGCACGCAUCUACGGGGACCUGAAUUAAACAAUUAGAACGGGAACAUUCGGAGAUGCCGUGCCCUUCGCAGGAGAACAACAGGAUGGGGAAGCCUUUCAGAGAAACAGAAUGCCAGGCUUGGUGUUUCCUCUGUGUAACAGACAGGGGUGCGCGGCAAAGACGAGAUGAAGUGGCUGAUAAAAACGAUGCGGUUUUUUUCCUGCACGUCCCCCUACGUGUUUACUUGGGACAUGUCACCGUGAGACACAACAUUCUUAAUGUCAUCUGAAUUCGGCUCCUGGACAGACGCCAGAGCUCCGAUGAAUAUAGGCCGGGCGCAUCAUAGCGCGGGACCGCGGCCCAGACCGGCAGAAGAAGGCAUGGGACGCCCGCUCCUCCUGCUGCUGAGGUCUCAGUGACAGGGGCUUAAAAUGGUCUUCCUCCUGUCUAUAUUUGACCUGACCUAUGAGACUGCAGAGUGGAGGGAAGAGUCCAGCCCCGCACCCCCUCCCCCACCCUAAAAGCCUGAGCAGAAAACCCACUUAGCUCAAUUAGAUUUGUUACUGACAGCAGUGAUGUACGACUGUGGACGGAGGAAAGAGCCAAGUUGUGUCUGAUUAAGGACACUUCAC
Bufo gargarizans (Asiatic toad) is the source of this 705-nucleotide long non-coding RNA. RefSeq lists it as uncharacterized. The transcript has 3 exons. NCBI's taxonomy places the organism in Eukaryota, Metazoa, Chordata, Amphibia, Anura, Bufonidae. The record is from RefSeq and is a predicted model, not a curated record.